GGGCAUAUCAGGUUGAAACACCGGUUCUCCUACGAUCACCGAAGUUAAGAAACGUUGACCCUGGUCACCACUGAUAUGGGUGACUGCUUGGGAAUGCCAGAUAC
Molecule: non-coding RNA, 104 nt
Organism: Acanthosepion pharaonis
Lineage: Eukaryota; Metazoa; Mollusca; Cephalopoda; Sepiida; Sepiidae
Source: the annotation of a GenBank genome assembly